Molecule: long non-coding RNA, 487 nt
Organism: Drosophila bipectinata
Lineage: Eukaryota; Metazoa; Arthropoda; Insecta; Diptera; Drosophilidae
Source: RefSeq, a predicted model, not a curated record
GUGCCUUUCAACCUUUUUCUAUAACUCAUCAGUUUACAUUUAAACUACAAAGCGUAGACAACAAAAAUCCUUCUUAGAAAAUUUCUUCAAAAAACGUAUAUCUAACGCUAACAAAAUUGCGAUCUAUAAGUGGGAGGACCAACUAACUAAGGACAAGUCCACCACCAUGAUUCACGGUUGCUUCGAAUUUUAUUUGAUUAUUCUUAUCUGCCUUGCCAUAGUGCAUAUAUUUCAUAGUUUUUUGUAUCGGCUUGAGUCUGAUUAUGACUAACGUGUAUGCCCUGGAGUCGAAGGACCUAACUGAAAUGAUAGCUGAAAUGAUCUACACCCUAGCUGAUAUUUUUAUACCGACGAUGAUAAAUAUACGGGACCACUUUAUGGAAAAAUAAUCCAAGAAAGAAUAAUCCAUCACAUUUUGAAGCUUUAUUAUGUAUACAUAGUUUUACAUUUGUUUAAAUUUGAAUUAUUAAAUAUGGCUGCUAGUUAA